Molecule: ribosomal RNA, 253 nt
Filed under: Intestinimonas butyriciproducens
Lineage: Bacteria; Bacillati; Bacillota; Clostridia; Eubacteriales
Description: partial 16S ribosomal RNA
Rfam family: Bacterial small subunit ribosomal RNA
Source: RNAcentral
UACGUAGGUGGCAAGCGUUAUCCGGAUUUACUGGGUGUAAAGGGCGAGUAGGCGGGCUUGCAAGUCAGAUGUGAAAUACCGAGGCUCAACCUCGGGGCUGCAUUUGAAACUGUAAGUCUUGAGUGAUGGAGAGGCAGGCGGAAUUCCCAGUGUAGCGGUAAAAUGCAUAGAGAUUGGGAAGAACACCAGUGGCGAAGGCGGCCUGCUGGACAUUAACUGACGCUGAGGAGCGAAAGUGUGGGGAGCAAACAGG